RNAcentral lists this ribosomal RNA (154 nucleotides) under Cyathicula coronata. RNAcentral describes it as "5.8S ribosomal RNA". It matches the Rfam family "5.8S ribosomal RNA". From Rfam's summary of the family: 5.8S ribosomal RNA (5.8S rRNA) is a component of the large subunit of the eukaryotic ribosome. The record is from RNAcentral. Lineage: Eukaryota; Fungi; Ascomycota; Leotiomycetes; Helotiales; Helotiaceae. RNAcentral also lists the same sequence under 8 other names.
AACUUUCAACAACGGAUCUCUUGGUUCUGGCAUCGAUGAAGAACGCAGCGAAAUGCGAUAAGUAAUGUGAAUUGCAGAAUUCAGUGAAUCAUCGAAUCUUUGAACGCACAUUGCGCCCCGUGGUAUUCCGCGGGGCAUGCCUGUUCGAGCGUCA